Molecule: ribosomal RNA, 474 nt
Filed under: uncultured bacterium
Lineage: Bacteria
Description: bacterial SSU rRNA
Rfam family: Bacterial small subunit ribosomal RNA
Source: RNAcentral
AGAGUUUGAUCCUGGCUCAGGACGAACGCUGGCGGCGUGCCUAAUACAUGCAAGUCGAGCGGGCCCUUCGGGGCCAGCGGCGGACGGGUGAGUAACACGUAGGCAACCUGCCCGAAAGACCGGGAUAACUGGCGGAAACGUCAGCUAAUACCGGAUAGGAGAAAGCGAGGCAUCUUGCUUUCUGGAAAGGCGGAGCUUUUCUGCCACUUUCGGAUGGGCCUGCGGCGCAUUAGCUAGUAGGCGGGGUAACGGCCCACCUAGGCGACGAUGCGUAGCCGACCUGAGAGGGUGAUCGGCCACACUGGGACUGAGACACGGCCCAGACUCCUACGGGAGGCAGCAGUAGGGAAUCUUCCGCAAUGGGCGAAAGCCUGACGGAGCAACGCCGCGUGAGUGAAGAAGGUCUUCGGAUCGUAAAGCUCUGUUGCCGGAGAAGAACGGCCUGGAGAGUGACUGCUCCAGGAGUGACGGUAU